AUCCUUUAAAUCACUGGCAGGAUUCUGCAAGUAAGGUUUUGAUUGCUGGACAUGAGCUCCAACUGGCUGGUGUUAGAUCCACACGUAAUAGUGGAGCUAAUUUUAAUUAGAUUGCAAAGCUUUGGGGUUUGCGUAUCGUUUCUGAAUCGGUAGCCAGAUACUUUGAGCUCAUCCGUCAUUCAAGAAUGGAGAAGUUGCAGCUUCAAAGGUACAUUCCACCCUCCUGGGCUGAGAACCUGAAAAAUAUACCGAAAUACAAGAUUAAUGUAAGU
Gigantopelta aegis is the source of this 272-nucleotide long non-coding RNA. RefSeq lists it as uncharacterized. NCBI's taxonomy places the organism in Eukaryota, Metazoa, Mollusca, Gastropoda, Neomphalida, Peltospiridae. The transcript is spliced from 2 exons. The record is from RefSeq and is a predicted model, not a curated record.